UACGUAGGGUGCAAGCGUUAAUCGGAAUUACUGGGCGUGAAGCGUGCGCAGGCGGUUUUGUAAGUUUGUCGUGAAAUCCCCGGGCUCAACCUGGGAAUUGCGAUGAAGACUGCAAGGCUAGAAUCUGGCAGAGGGGGGUAGAAUUCCACGUGUAGCAGUGAAAUGCGUAGAGAUGUGGAGGAACACCGAUGGCGAAGGCAGCCCCCUGGGUCAAGAUUGACGCUCAUGCACGAAAGCGUGGGGAGCAAACAGG
RNAcentral lists this ribosomal RNA (253 nucleotides) under uncultured bacterium. RNAcentral describes it as "partial 16S ribosomal RNA". It matches the Rfam family "Bacterial small subunit ribosomal RNA", at positions 524 to 776 of the family's 1533-position model. The record is from RNAcentral.